GACGAACGCUGGCGGCGUGCUUAACACAUGCAAGUCGAACGGAAAGGCCCUGCCUUUGUGGGGUGCUCGAGUGGCGAACGGGUGAGUAACACGUGAGUAACCUGCUCUUGACUUUGGGAUAACUUCAGGAAACUGGGGCUAAUACCGGAUAUGAUCUCCCGCUGCAUGGUGGGGGUUGGAAAGUUUCGGUGGUUGGGGAUGGACUCGCGGCUUAUCAGCUUGUUGGUGGGGUAGUGGCUUACCAAGGCCUUGACGGGUAGCCGGCCUGAGAGGGUGACCGGCCACAUUGGGCCUAAGAUACGGCGCAGUAUGCUACGUGAGGCAACAGUCGGAAAUAUUGCACAAUGGGCCGGAGCCUGAGUCAGCAACGCCCCGUGCGUGAUGACGGCCUUCGGGUUGUAAACCGCGUUCGCCUGUGACGAAGCGUGAGUGACGGUAAUGGGUAAAGAAGCCCCGGCUAACUACGUG
This 468-nucleotide ribosomal RNA is filed under the name uncultured bacterium. Its description in RNAcentral is "partial 16S ribosomal RNA". It matches the Rfam family "Bacterial small subunit ribosomal RNA", at positions 28 to 507 of the family's 1533-position model. The record is from RNAcentral.